AUUGAACGCUGGCGGCAGGCCUAACACAUGCAAGUCGAGCGAGCGGCGGACGGGUGUGUAAUGUAUGGGGACUGCCCGUUAGAGGGGGAUAACUCUUGGAAACGCUAUCUAUUAUCGCACAUUCUCUGAUUAUCCAGAUGGGAUUAGCUAGUGGGUGGGGUAAUGGCUCACCUAGGCGACGCGCCCUAGCUGUUCUGAGAGGAUGAUCAGCCACACUGGAACUGAGACACGGCCCAGACUCCGACGGAGGCAGCAGUGGGGAAUAUUGCACAAUGGGCGCAAGCCUGAUGCAGCCAUGCCGCGUGUAUGAAGAAGGCCCUAGGGUUGUAAAGUACUUUCAGUCGGGAGGCGUUACCGGCAGAAGAAGCACCGGCUAACUCCGUGCCAGCAGCCGCGGUAAUAC
RNAcentral lists this ribosomal RNA (403 nucleotides) under uncultured bacterium. RNAcentral describes it as "partial 16S ribosomal RNA". It matches the Rfam family "Bacterial small subunit ribosomal RNA", at positions 30 to 526 of the family's 1533-position model. The record is from RNAcentral.